Molecule: ribosomal RNA, 253 nt
Filed under: uncultured bacterium
Lineage: Bacteria
Description: partial 16S ribosomal RNA
Rfam family: Bacterial small subunit ribosomal RNA
Source: RNAcentral
GACGUAGGGCGCGAGCGUUGUCCGGACUUAUUGGGCGUAAAGAGCUCGUAGGCGGCUUGUCGCGUCGACCGUGAAAACUUGGGGCUCAACCCCAAGCCUGCGGUCGAUACGGGCAGGCUCGAGUUCGGUAGGGGAGACUGGAAUUCCUGGUGUAGCGGUGAAAUGCGCAGAUAUCAGGAGGAACACCGGUGGCGAAGGCGGGUCUCUGGGCCGAUACUGACGCUGAGGAGCGAAAGCGUGGGGAGCGAACAGG